AACUGAAUAUUUAAGUGGAUUAUGCAAAUUCAUCUUCCUCUUGAACCUUCAUAAUCAGUUCUCUAUCAGUGUGCAGCUCAAUAAUUCAGUACAACAAUAUGGAGCGUAAAGUUUUGGGAUUUACAGUACUGUUACUGGCUUCUCAAUAUUGUUGGUGUCAGACACUGACUGAGUCUGAAGCUGUAGUCAUCAAACCUGGAGAAUCCCAUAAACUGACAUGUACUGCCUCUGGUUUGGACUUUGAUAACUACUGGAUGGCUUGGAUCAGACAGAAGUCUGGAAAAGAGCUGGAAUGGCUGGCAUUGAUCAGAUAUGAUAGCCAGUAUAUGUAUUACUCCCAGUCUGUCCAAGGACGGUUCACCAUCUCCAAAGACAACAGUAGGAAGCAGGUGUAUCUGCAGAUGAACAGCCUGAAGAAUGAAGACACUGCUGUAUAUUAUUGUGCCCGAGAGACACAGUGACUGAAAUGACUGCAGCGCUGUGCACAAAAA
Molecule: non-coding RNA, 491 nt
Organism: Megalobrama amblycephala (Wuchang bream)
Lineage: Eukaryota; Metazoa; Chordata; Actinopteri; Cypriniformes; Xenocyprididae
Source: the annotation of a RefSeq genome assembly